GGGGGGGCUCGCGGCCUAUCAGCUAGUUGGGGGGGUAAUGGCCCACCAAGGCGACGACGGGUAGCUGGUCUGAGAGGAUGGCCAGCCACAUUGGGACUGAGAGACGGCCCAGACUCCUACGGGAGGCAGCAGUGGGGAAUCUUGCGCAAUGGCCGAAAGGCUGACGCAGCGACGCCGCGUGGGGGAGGAAGGCCUUCGGGUUGUAAACCCCUGUUGCCCGGGACGAAUGUGCACUUUAGAGUGCAUUGACGGUACCGGGUGAGGAAGCACCGGCUAACUCCGUGCCAGCAGCCGCGGUAAUACGGAGGGUGCAAGCGUUGUCCGGAAUCACUGGGCGUAAAGGGCGCGUAGGCGGCUCAUAAAGGCUGUGGUGAAAGUUCGGGGCUCAACCUCGAAUCGGCCGUGGCGACUUGUGGGCUGGAGCACUGUAGAGGCAGGUGGAAUUCCGGGUGUAGCGGUGGAAUGCGUAGAGAUCCGGAAGAACACCAGUGGCGAAAGCGGCCUGCUGGGCAGUGGCUGACGCUGAGGCGCGACAGCGUGGGGAGCAAACAGGAUUAGAUACCCUGGUAGUCCACGCCGUAAACGAUGGGCACUAGGUGCUUGGGGGAGCGACCCUCUGAGUGCCGGCGCUAACGCAUUAAGUGCCCCGCCUGGGGAGUACGGCCGCAAGGCUGAAACUCAAAGGAAUUGACGGAAUCGAAUUCCCGC
This 708-nucleotide ribosomal RNA is filed under the name uncultured bacterium. RNAcentral's name for it is "bacterial SSU rRNA". It matches the Rfam family "Bacterial small subunit ribosomal RNA", at positions 223 to 930 of the family's 1533-position model. The record is from RNAcentral.